This is an RNA transcript of Fragaria vesca subsp. vesca, 847 nucleotides long. RefSeq lists it as uncharacterized. The transcript has 9 exons. The record is from RefSeq and is a predicted model, not a curated record. Lineage: Eukaryota; Viridiplantae; Streptophyta; Magnoliopsida; Rosales; Rosaceae.
AAAACACAAAACAUCUCGCCCACCCUCAUCUACCUCGACAUCUCUCCCAAAUUCACACACUCAACCCAAAACCUGACAUCUCUCCUCUCUCAGCCUCGUCAGCGUCGUCGGAGACGGCGACGAAGCUCUCGGCGAGCUAGCCUCUCUUUUGAUUCGUCUCUUUAGAGGUGACUACAAUACGACUUGGAGCUUUGAUUUUCUGAAGAUAUUUCUCUCAAGGUGGAGAAAGAAUGAAGGCUAAGAAGAAGAGCUCUCUUCCAGCAGACUCGGCGAAAGAGCAACAUAAGAAGCAAAAGGGGAAGGGGAAGAUGAAGGUGAAGAAUCAAGGCAGUUCCAUAUAACAUUGGAUUUUUACAAGUGGCUACUCUAUCGCUACAGGCUCACUAGGAAAAUUCCUGAGGUUAUUUGUUUAAUGCAGGUGCUUGAUGUUCUGGAUUUGAGUGAGAAUGAACUUGUAAGCCAAUCCCACAUAUACUGAAAUCUACCGUACAUUGGGAAACUAUUCUUGCAUGGUAACAAGUUGACUGGGACUAUUCUACCCGAGCUUGGCAAUAUGUCAAAACUUAGCUACUUGAGUUAGGUUGGUUUGAGAUGCAAUCUCCAAAGGAAGAGAUGGUGGAUGAGAAUCGUGGAGCUAGUUGUGGAUUUGGGAUUAAUCUUUUUUCCUUCUAAAAGACUUGGAAGCAUUCCAAUUGCAGGUUAGCAUAGUUGAGGCCGAGCGUACAUGGAGAAGAGGCAUAAUCAAUAGUAAGUUCUAUUCUGGGGCUGCAAUGAUUGAUGUUGAUGUUGGGUGAUUCCUUGUUUAGCUUUGUGUCUUCAGUUAAGCAGGUAAUAUUCUCUAUAAAUA